UACGAAGGGGGCUAGCGUUGCUCGGAAUUACUGGGCGUAAAGGGAGCGUAGGCGGACAUUUAAGUCAGGGGUGAAAUCCCGGGGCUCAACCUCGGAACUGCCUUUGAUACUGGAUGUCUUGAGUGUGAGAGAGGUAUGUGGAACUCCGAGUGUAGAGGUGAAAUUCGUAGAUAUUCGGAAGAACACCAGUGGCGAAGGCGACAUACUGGCUCAUUACUGACGCUGAGGCUCGAAAGCAUGGGGAGCAAACAGG
This 253-nucleotide ribosomal RNA is filed under the name uncultured bacterium. RNAcentral's name for it is "partial 16S ribosomal RNA". It matches the Rfam family "Bacterial small subunit ribosomal RNA", at positions 524 to 776 of the family's 1533-position model. The record is from RNAcentral.